This 497-nucleotide ribosomal RNA is filed under the name uncultured bacterium. RNAcentral describes it as "partial 16S ribosomal RNA". It matches the Rfam family "Bacterial small subunit ribosomal RNA", at positions 28 to 507 of the family's 1533-position model. The record is from RNAcentral.
GAUGAACGCUGGCGGCGUGCCUAAUACAUGCAAGUCGAGCGAACGGACGAGAAGCUUGCUUCUCUGAUGUUAGCGGCGGACGGGUGAGUAACACGUGGAUAACCUACCUAUAAGACUGGGAUAACUUCGGGAAACCGUAGCUAAUACCGGAUAAUAUUUUGAACCGCAUGGUUCAAAAGUGAAAGACGGCUUUCCUGUCACUUAUAGAUGGAUCCGCGUUGCAUUAGCUAGUUGGUAAGGUAACGGCUAACCAAGGCAACGAUGCAUAGCCGACCUGAGAGGGUGAUCGGCCACACUGGAACUGAGACACGGUCCAGACUCCUACGGGAGGCAGCAGUAGGGAAUCUUCCGCAAUGGGCGAAAGCCUGACGGAGCAACGCCGCGUGAGUGAUGAAGGUCUUCGGAUCGUAAAACUCUGUUAUUAGGGAAGAACAUAUGUGUAAGUAACUGUGCACAUCUUGACGGUACCUAAUCAGAAAGCCACGGCUAACUACGUG